CCCUUUGGGUGUGACUGCGUACCUUUUGUAUAAUGGGUCAGCGACUUAUAUUCUGUAGCAAGGUUAACCGAAUAGGGGAGCCGGAGGGAAACCGAGUCUUAACCGGGCGUUAAGUUGCAGGGUAUAGACCCGAAACCCGGUGAUCUAGCCAUGGGCAGGUUGAAGGUUGGGUAACACUAACUGGAGGACCGAACCGACUAAUGUUGAAAAAUUAGCGGAUGACCUGUGGCUGGGGGUGAAAGGCCAAUCAAACCGGGAGAUAGCUGGUUCUCCCCGAAAGCUAUUUAGGUAGCGCCUCGUGAAUUCAUCUCCGGGGGUAGAGCACUGUUUCGGCUAGGGGGCCAUCCCGGCUUACCAACCCGAUGCAAACUGCGAAUACCGGAGAAUGUUAUCACGGGAGACACACGGCGGGUGCUAACGUCCGUCGUGAAGAGGGAAACAACCCAGACCGCCAGCUAAGGUCCCAAAGUCAUGGUUAAGUGGGAAACGAUGUGGGAAGGCCCAGACAGCCAGGAUGUUGGCUUAGAAGCAGCCAUCAUUUAAAGAAAGCGUAAUAGCUCACUGGUCGAGUCGGCCUGCGCGGAAGAUGUAACGGGGCUAAACCAUGCACCGAAGCUGCGGCAGCGACACUGUGUGUUGUUGGGUAGGGGAGCGUUCUGUAAG
Molecule: ribosomal RNA, 663 nt
Filed under: Salmonella enterica
Lineage: Bacteria; Pseudomonadati; Pseudomonadota; Gammaproteobacteria; Enterobacterales; Enterobacteriaceae
Also listed under: 1 other name
Description: partial 23S ribosomal RNA
Rfam family: Bacterial large subunit ribosomal RNA
Source: RNAcentral